Molecule: ribosomal RNA, 344 nt
Filed under: uncultured bacterium
Lineage: Bacteria
Description: bacterial SSU rRNA
Rfam family: Bacterial small subunit ribosomal RNA
Source: RNAcentral
ACCGCAUAUUCUGUGAGCAGGAAAGCAGGGGAUCGCAAGACCUUGCGCUGAUUGAGCGGCCGAUAUCAGAUUCGCUAGUUGGUGAGGUAAAGGCUCACCAAGGCGACGAUCUGUAGCGGGUCUGAGAGGAUGAUCCGCCACACUGGAACUGAGACACGGUCCAGACUCCUACGGGAGGCAGCAGUGGGGAAUUUUGGACAAUGGGCGCAAGCCUGAUCCAGCCAUGCCGCGUGAGUGAAGAAGGUCUUCGGAUUGUAAAGCUCUUUCGGCCGGGAAGAAAUCGCACAGGUUAAUACCCUGUGUGGAUGACGGUACCGGAAUAAGAAGCACCGGCUAACUACGUG